This 1973-nucleotide ribosomal RNA is filed under the name human vaginal metagenome. RNAcentral describes it as "bacterial LSU rRNA". It matches the Rfam family "Bacterial large subunit ribosomal RNA", at positions 949 to 2925 of the family's 2925-position model. The record is from RNAcentral.
ACAAACUCCGAAUGCCAAUUAAUUUAACUUGGGAGUCAGAACAUGGGUGAUAAGGUCCGUGUUCGAAAGGGAAACAGCCCAGACCACCAGCUAAGGUCCCAAAAUAUAUGUUAAGUGGAAAAGGAUGUGGCGUUGCCCAGACAACUAGGAUGUUGGCUUAGAAGCAGCCAUCAUUUAAAGAGUGCGUAAUAGCUCACUAGUCGAGUGACACUGCGCCGAAAAUGUACCGGGGCUAAACAUAUUACCGAAGCUGUGGAUUGUCCUUUGGACAAUGGUAGGAGAGCGUUCUAAGGGCGUCGAAGCAUGAUCGCAAGGACAUGUGGAGCGCUUAGAAGUGAGAAUGCCGGUGUGAGUAGCGAAAGACGGGUGAGAAUCCCGUCCACCGAUUGACUAAGGUUUCCAGAGGAAGGCUCGUCCGCUCUGGGUUAGUCGGGUCCUAAGCUGAGGCCGACAGGCGUAGGCGAUGGAUAACAGGUUGAUAUUCCUGUACCACCUAGCAUCGUUUUAAUCGAUGGGGGGACGCAGUAGGAUAGGCGAAGCGUGCUGUUGGAGUGCACGUCCAAGCAGUAAGGCUGAGUGUUAGGCAAAUCCGGCACUCAUAAGGCUGAGCUGUGAUGGGGAGAGGAAAUUGUUUCCUCGAGUCGUUGAUUUCACACUGCCGAGAAAAGCCUCUAGAUAGAUAACAGGUGCCCGUACCGCAAACCGACACAGGUAGUCAAGAUGAGAAUUCUAAGGUGAGCGAGCGAACUCUCGUUAAGGAACUCGGCAAAAUGACCCCGUAACUUCGGGAGAAGGGGUGCUCUUUAGGGUUUACGCCCAGAAGAGCCACAGUGAAUAGGCCCAAGCGACUGUUUAUCAAAAACACAGGUCUCUGCUAAACCGUAAGGUGAUGUAUAGGGGCUGACGCCUGCCCGGUGCUGGAAGGUUAAGAGGAGUGGUUAGCUUCUGCGAAGCUACGAAUCGAAGCCCCAGUAAACGGCGGCCGUAACUAUAACGGUCCUAAGGUAGCGAAAUUCCUUGUCGGGUAAGUUCCGACCCGCACGAAAGGCGUAACGAUUUGGGCACUGUCUCAACGAGAGACUCGGUGAAAUCAUAGUACCUGUGAAGAUGCAGGUUACCCGCGACAGGACGGAAAGACCCCGUGGAGCUUUACUGUAGCCUGAUAUUGAAAUUCGGCACAGCUUGUACAGGAUAGGUAGGAGCCUUUGAAACGUGAGCGCUAGCUUACGUGGAGGCGUUGGUGGGAUACUACCCUAGCUGUGUUGGCUUUCUAACCCGCACCACUUAUCGUGGUGGGAGACAGUGUCAGGCGGGCAGUUUGACUGGGGCGGUCGCCUCCUAAAAGGUAACGGAGGCGCUCAAAGGUUCCCUCAGAAUGGUUGGAAAUCAUUCAUAGAGUGUAAAGGCAUAAGGGAGCUUGACUGCGAGACCUACAAGUCGAGCAGGGUCGAAAGACGGACUUAGUGAUCCGGUGGUUCCGCAUGGAAGGGCCAUCGCUCAACGGAUAAAAGCUACCCCGGGGAUAACAGGCUUAUCUCCCCCAAGAGUUCACAUCGACGGGGAGGUUUGGCACCUCGAUGUCGGCUCAUCGCAUCCUGGGGCUGUAGUCGGUCCCAAGGGUUGGGCUGUUCGCCCAUUAAAGCGGUACGCGAGCUGGGUUCGUUCAGAACGUCGUGAGACAGUUCGGUCCCUAUCCGUCGUGGGCGUAGGAAAUUUGAGAGGAGCUGUCCUUAGUACGAGAGGACCGGGAUGGACAUACCUCUGGUGUACCAGUUGUCGUGCCAACGGCAUAGCUGGGUAGCUAUGUAUGGACGGGAUAAGUGCUGAAAGCAUCUAAGCAUGAAGCCCCCCUCAAGAUGAGAUUUCCCAACUUCGGUUAUAAGAUCCCUCGAAGAUGACGAGGUUAAUAGGUUCGAGGUGGAAGCGUGGUGACACGUGGAGCUGACGAAUACUAAUCGAUCGAAGACUUAAUC